RNAcentral lists this ribosomal RNA (497 nucleotides) under uncultured bacterium. Its description in RNAcentral is "partial 16S ribosomal RNA". It matches the Rfam family "Bacterial small subunit ribosomal RNA", at positions 28 to 507 of the family's 1533-position model. The record is from RNAcentral.
GAUGAACGCUGGCGGCGUGCCUAAUACAUGCAAGUCGAGCGAACAGACGCGGAGCUUGCUCCUCUGACGUUAGCGGCGGACGGGUGAGUAACACGUGGAUAACCUACCUAUAAGACUGGGAUAACUUCGGGAAACCGGAGCUAAUCCCGGAUAAUAUAUUGAACCGCAUGGUUCAAUAGUGAAAUACGGUUUUGCUGUCACUUAUAGAUGGAUCCGCGCCGCAUUAGCUAGUUGGUAAGGUAACGGGUUACCAAGGCAACGAUGCGUAGCCGACCGGAGAGGCGGGUCGGCGACAUGGGAACGGAGACGCGCACCAGACUCCUACGGGAGGCAGCAGUAGGGAAUCUUCCGCAAAGGGCGGAAGCAUUACGGAGCGACGCGGAGUGAGUGAUGAAGGUGUUCGGAUCGUAAAACUCUGUUAUUAGGGAAGAACAAAUGUGUAAGUAACUAUGCACGGCGUGACGGUAACUAAUCAGAAAGCCACGGCUAACUACGUG